GAAACGACAUCUCACAUUUAAAGAACACCAGGCGUUUCUACACAGCGGGGGAAGGAAAUCCGUCCUGAUUUUAAACUUUGGCACAGCUGUGAAACCGAGGGUAGUGAACUCUGAGGAGAGGACUCUUUUCUGGACAUACAUUUAACGUCCGUGAAAGCCUCAGACCCCCUGAGCACACCUGCCUAGCCGUGUUGUGGACGAACAAGGGCUGAC
This 213-nucleotide long non-coding RNA is filed under the name Homo sapiens (human). Its description in RNAcentral is "non-protein coding lnc-BANP-1:15". Lineage: Eukaryota; Metazoa; Chordata; Mammalia; Primates; Hominidae. The record is from RNAcentral.